This 775-nucleotide long non-coding RNA is filed under the name Cyanistes caeruleus (blue tit). RNAcentral's name for it is "lncRNA (ENSCCEG00000000505.1)". The record is from RNAcentral. Lineage: Eukaryota; Metazoa; Chordata; Aves; Passeriformes; Paridae.
GUGAUUUAGUACAUUCUUUGCUUAGCUUUACCUGUUCAGCAGGAGUAGUGUGAUUUGCUGAAACCUUAGGCUGCAAACUGUGAGCUCACAGUUUCCAUACGUUUUCAUAUAGGAAUAGAGUUAAUUUUCUCACUAAUUUUCCAACUAUCUGCUACAGUGCUGUGUUUUGUCUUUAGUAUGAGAAGGAAAUUGCCAACACACUCACAUUUUGGUUGUUGCUAAGUAAUGUUUAUCUUGAGUCCAGGUUUUUUUAGUUUCCCAUGCUCUACCAGCAAGCAGCUGCACCAAGAAGCACAAACAAGAAGAUUAGGAAGCUAUAACCAUCAGCAGGAGCUGCAACCUGGCAAAACAAGGACAAGGUAUGACCUGCCUACAUGAACACAGAAAAAAUAAUCCAAUAAGGUGUUAGAAUUUCCCACACCAAAAAUUACCAAGAGGUACAUGCAAAGUGCUUGAAGAGUAGAGAAGAGGUGAGCACAUGAGUUAUAAGGGUAAAAUUGCCUUAAUUAUUUCUUUGUUCUGGGUCCCUCUGCAGAGGCACCUGACUCAAGCUGACCUGCUGCCAUACCAUGCUAUUGAAUUAUUUAUUUUUAUAAAUCCAGUGCCUGAGAUCCUGCUCCUGGGGACCCAGGGUCAAGUCUACAGAAGGAGGAAAUGCAAAGGGACUCAGGUCACAGCAGGAAACAGAACUAUGCACCUUAUUGCAGGGUUUAAAACACCAGUUCUGAGGACUUCUAAGGCUACCAACUUCCAAGGAAGCAACUGUUCCACCUGA